CAUAAAGUACAACCGCACGAGGUACCGUUUAAGUAGCAUAAGCUCACGGUUCAAGGCGAGUCUUACAGCCGUU
Regulatory RNA element from Lactococcus garvieae Lg2, 73 nucleotides. NCBI's taxonomy places the organism in Bacteria, Bacillati, Bacillota, Bacilli, Lactobacillales, Streptococcaceae. The record is from Rfam.